ACGUAGGCAGCGAGCGUUGUUCGGAGUUACUGGGCGUAAAGGGUGUGUAGGCGGUUGUUUAAGUUUGGUGUGAAAUCUCCCGGCUCAACUGGGAGGGUGCGCCGAAUACUGAAUGACUUGGAGUGCGGGAGAGGAAAGUGGAAUUCCUGGUGUAGCGGUGAAAUGCGUAGAUAUCAGGAGGAACACCGGUGGUGUAGACGGCUUUCUGGACCGUAACUGACGCUGAGACACGAAAGCGUGGGUAGCAAACAGGA
Molecule: ribosomal RNA, 254 nt
Filed under: uncultured prokaryote
Description: partial 16S ribosomal RNA
Rfam family: Bacterial small subunit ribosomal RNA
Source: RNAcentral